AUUGAACGCUGGCGGCAUGCCUUACUCAUGCAAGUCGAACGGCAGCACGGGUGCUUGCACCUGGUGGCGAGUGGCGAACGGGUGAGUAAUACAUCGGAACGUGCCCAGUCGUGGGGGAUAACUGCUCGAAAGAGCAGCUAAUACCGCAUACGACCUGAGGGUGAAAGCGGGGGAUCGCAAGACCUCGCGCGAUUGGAGCGGCCGAUAUCAGAUUAGGUAGUUGGUGAGGUAAAGGCUCACCAAGCCGACGAUCUGUAGCUGGUCUGAGAGGACGACCAGCCACACUGGGACUGAGACACGGCCCAGACUCCUACGGGAGGCAGCAGUGGGGAAUUUUGGACAAUGGGCGCAAGCCUGAUCCAGCCAUGCCGCGUGCGGGAAGAAGGCCUUCGGGUUGUAAACCGCUUUUGUCAGGGAAGAAAAGGUUCUGGCUAAUACCUGGGACUCAUGACGGUACCUGAAGAAUAAGCACCGGCUAACUACGUGCCAGCCGCCGCCGUAA
RNAcentral lists this ribosomal RNA (502 nucleotides) under uncultured bacterium. Its description in RNAcentral is "partial 16S ribosomal RNA". It matches the Rfam family "Bacterial small subunit ribosomal RNA", at positions 30 to 523 of the family's 1533-position model. The record is from RNAcentral.